AUGAACCCGCUAGUGGACGAGUUCUUGGGAGGAAAGAACGGCCUUCUGGUUGCGAUGGGUCCGACAGGGUCCGGCAAGACGCAUACCGUCUUUGGUACUGCAAGAAAUCCCGGCCUGGUACCGCUCACGCUACAGAAGAUCUUCACUACGGCAGAUGAAUCCGAAGGUGGCAACCAAUCGCCAAGAUUAUUUUACUUGUCAAUGUUCGAGAUACUCUGUGAAGGAAAAGGAGAACGAAUUCUCGAUCUUCUGUCUGAUGCAACAAUUAAAGGCCUUAAAGAGGUAGCCAUUUCAAGUGCCAUGGAUGCUGAGAGUUUAGUUUCACGUGGCAUGCUUAAGCGGAGCACAGCUGCAACUGAUGCUAACAGCGAGUCAAGCCGGUCACAGUGCAUCAUCACUAUACGUGCUGUUCAUAAAAACGUUGACCAACAAAGUGAGCACCCGAUUAGUGGAUCUGUCUUGACCAUUGCUGACCUUGCUGGAGCAGAGCGAAAAAAGAAUACUGGAAAUAAGGGUUCAAGGUUGUUGGAGAGUAACUUUAUCAACAAUACGUCCAUGGUUUUCGGUCUAUGUCUGAGGGCUUUAUUAGAUCAUCAGAAAAAUCAGAAGAAAACCUUGGAGAAACAUUUUAAGAACUCAAUGUUGACAAGGUACUUGAAAGACUACCUGGAGGGAAGGAAGAAGAUGACUCUGAUUUUGAACGUGAAACCAGGAGAAGAUGAUUACGCUGAUACAUCAUAUUUGCUCAGACAAGCAUCUCCUUACAUGAAAAUAAGGUACACCAGCCUUGAUGAAUCUUCUAACUUGGUUUCCCAAAAGAGAACCAAUGUUUCCCUGGUUUGCCAAGAGAACAAGAAAAAGAGGAAGGUUAACAAGCCCGAACCUGAAGUUGUUACGGCUGAAGAAAAGGAGCUGCAAAGAGUGUCUCGAAGUGAACAAAUCAUGAAAAACCUUUUCAAUGCUUUAUGGACUGUUUCAAAACAAAAGAUUACGGAGUCUGAGGUUGCUGCUAAAAGCAUGCAAGAAUUGCUCAAAGAUAAAGACACUGAAAUUCUAGAGCUGAAAAAGGAGUUGGAUGACCUGAAGUCUCGUUGUUCACGCGUUAAGCAAAAUGGUGCUGCAUCAAUUGCUAUAAGCUCGGUUUCUGAAACUGAACUGGCCAGUGACGCUGCAUUAGACAAUCUCCAUUUGAGCACUGAGUUGGUACAAAAGAUCUCAGAAGAAUCUACAUAUUCUGAUCCAGAAAUGUCUUCAGCUUAUUGCGAUAUGACAGAGAAAUCCGUCGACUGUGAUACCUCUGUUGCUAAUUUGAUAGAUGAACAAGAGUUGAGCUCCAGAUAUUUGAAGAAAGAGGAAUCAUGCACUCCUGAUGUUACUGAACCCAAGUGCGAUCUGAAAAAGGAAAAUACUGAGACAAUCCGACAAGUGGGCAACAAGGAAUCUGAUGGUUCUGAGAGCUGUUCUGAACAAACAUCGGCACCUGACGGUGGUGUAACACAUGCACCCAGUCAUUUGGAUGACCCAUCUGAGCUUAGCUUUUCAGAACUUCAUAUAGUUCCAUGUAAUCUGUCCGCACAGUUUACUGAUAUACAAGUUAGUGAGAAAGCUCCCAUGGAACAAAGUGAAGAAGAGGAGUUAAGCAGCAAUACAGAAGUGGAGAGUAUUCAACAUGACGUCGACAUAAAAGAGAUGAAGCAGCAUGAUUAUCAAAGUUCAUCUCAGCAACCGAACUGUGACGCUGGAGACGUUAGCUCCAAUCAGCCUUUCUUAGAGUUGCAAGGCAUGGGUGCUGCUCACCAGAAUCCUGAUGAACUGGUGCCUGAGCCAGAAAGGUGCGAGUCCAUGGUAAAGGAGGCCACUGCAGCACACGCACAUGGAGCAAAUGAGGACCUUUGCGCUUCGAAGCCUCGUGAAAACACAAAGAAGCCGUCAAGCAGGAGGAGGCUGCUGCCGGUGUCGGCCAUGAUGCUCAAGGAGUUCACCGGCCCUGCCAUUGGUUUGGAUGGAGGAGGCGCCAAGGCAUCGUCGGGCGAGCAGUCGGCGACGGCUGCUGGGCGAUCGGACGCGCUCAUCCGGCUCCUCAAAGCAAAAGCGCCGCCCAUGAGGCAUCAUCGGGGCUAG
RNAcentral lists this ribosomal RNA (2121 nucleotides) under Triticum aestivum (bread wheat). Its description in RNAcentral is "partial small subunit ribosomal RNA". Lineage: Eukaryota; Viridiplantae; Streptophyta; Magnoliopsida; Poales; Poaceae. The record is from RNAcentral.